Haemorhous mexicanus (house finch) is the source of this 537-nucleotide long non-coding RNA. RefSeq lists it as uncharacterized. Lineage: Eukaryota; Metazoa; Chordata; Aves; Passeriformes; Fringillidae. The record is from RefSeq and is a predicted model, not a curated record. The transcript is spliced from 3 exons.
GUCGACCAGCAUCCUUGGCAGAUGGUGGAAGCCUCCUGCCUUCUCUGUGUGGGCUGUUCCUGGAGCCAAGGGAAAUCCUGUUUACUUUGACCCUUGCCUGCCAAGUGAAACAAUAUUUGAGUCCUUCGGUGAGAUACAAACUUCAAUCCAGGUCAUGAAGGUAGCCAGAGGACAGACCUGUCCCUAGGCAAUGAAAUAAGUCUUCCCUGUGAUGUCCUUUCAGCCGUCAGGGCAAAGGAACAUGGUAUCGUAUCAGUGAAAUUCAUUAAAAGGCAUGAGCACGGAAGGACUUAAAAUGUAGUUCCAUGCUGUGGUUAACCUGAAAAGAUACCUGUGAUUCCAAAAAAAAGCAUGCAAAAAGGUGAAUAAUGUGCAUUGAUGGUACUACUACUAUGGUUGAUGUUGCUCUGUUCUCUUAGGUUCUGUGCAGAUGCAGAAUGAGUUUGUCUCUGGCCCCGGGCAGCCUAUACGUACACAUAAGAAUGACACAAAAAGACAGAAUUUGACAGAGGAUAAGAAAACAGUGGAACCAUACUG